CCCGAAGACGCCGUCGGGAGAUCCGGGCAGAGUUUUCUGUUCUGCAUGAGCGUUCGAGUUCCCUGGAAUCCUCUAGCAGGGAGAUAGGGUUUGGAACGCGAAGAGCACCGCAGUUGCGGCGGUGUCUGGAUCUUCCCCUCGGACCUUGAAAAUUCGGGUGAGGGACACGUGGAGGUCUCGCGCCGGUUCGUACCCAUAUCCGCAGCAGGUCUCCAAGGUAAAGAGCCUCUAGUCGAUAGACUAAUGUAGGUAAGGGAAGUCA
RNAcentral lists this ribosomal RNA (262 nucleotides) under Grylloblattina djakonovi. RNAcentral's name for it is "partial 28S ribosomal RNA". It matches the Rfam family "Eukaryotic large subunit ribosomal RNA", at positions 1658 to 1916 of the family's 3401-position model. The record is from RNAcentral. Lineage: Eukaryota; Metazoa; Arthropoda; Insecta; Grylloblattodea; Grylloblattidae.